This 164-nucleotide ribosomal RNA is filed under the name Vicia cypria. Its description in RNAcentral is "5.8S ribosomal RNA". The stretch from base 1 to 139 matches the Rfam family "5.8S ribosomal RNA", at positions 18 to 154 of the family's 154-position model. From Rfam's summary of the family: 5.8S ribosomal RNA (5.8S rRNA) is a component of the large subunit of the eukaryotic ribosome. Lineage: Eukaryota; Viridiplantae; Streptophyta; Magnoliopsida; Fabales; Fabaceae. The record is from RNAcentral.
AUCUAGGCUCUUGCAUCGAUGAAGAACGUAGCGAAAUGCGAUACUUGGUGUGAAUUGCAGAAUCCCGUGAACCAUCGAGUCUUUGAACGCAAGUUGCGCCCGAUGCCAUUAGGUUGAGGGCACGUCUGCCUGGGUGUCACAUACUGAAGCCUCCUGCCAAUAUC